AGUGGCGAACGGGUGAGUAACGCGUGAAUAACCUGCCUUUCAGUGGGGGUCAACAGUUGGAAACGGCUGCUAAUACCGCAUGAUGUUUCCGGGAGGCAUCUUCUGGAAACCAAAGCUUUAUGUGCUGAAAGAUGGAUUCGCGUCUGAUUAGCUAGUUGGUGAGGUAACGGCCCACCAAGGCGACGAUCAGUAGCCGGUCUGAGAGGAUGAACGGCCACAUUGGGACUGAGAUACGGCCCAGACUCCUACGGGAGGCAGCAGUGGGGAAUAUUGGGCAAUGGGCGCAAGCCUGACCCAGCAACGCCGCGUGAAGGAAGAAGGCUUUCGGGUUGUAAACUUCUUUUACCAGGGACGAAGGACGUGACGGUACCUCUAGAAUAAGCCACGGCUAACUACGUGCCAGCAGCCGCGGUAAUACGUAGGUGGCAAGCGUUGUCCGGAUUUACUGGGUGUAAAGGGCGUGCAGCCGGGUCUGCAAGUCAGAUGUGAAAUCCAUGGGCUCAACCCAUGAACUGCAUUUGAAACUGUAGAUCUUGAGUGUCGGAGGGGCAAUCGGAAUUCCUAGUGUAGCGGUGAAAUGCGUAGAUAUUAGGAGGAACACCAGUGGCGAAGGCGGAUUGCUGGACGGUAACUGACGCUGAGGCUCGAAAGCGUGGGGAGCAAACAGGAUUAGAUACCCUGGUAGUCCACGCCGUAAACGAUGAGUGCUAGGUGUUAGGCCCUUUCCGGGGUUUAGUGCCGCAGCUAACGCAUUAUAGCACUCCGCCUGGGGAGUACGACCGCAAGGUUGAAAACUCAAAGGAAUUGACGGGGGCCCGCACAAGCGGUGGGGCAUGUGGUUUAAUUCGAAGCAACGCGAAGAACCUUACCAGGUCUUGACAUCCCGAUGCUAUUCCUAGAGAUAGGAAUUUUCUUCGGAACAUCGGUGACAGGUGGUGCAUGGUUGUCGUCAGCUCGUGUCGUGAGAUGUCGGGUUAAGUCCCGCAACGAGCGCAACCCCUAUUGUUAGUUGCCAUCAUUAAGUUGGGCACUCUAGCGAGACUGCCGGUAAUAAACCGGAGGAAGGUGGGGAUGACGUCAAAUCAUCAUGCCCCUUAUGACCUGGGCUACACACGUGCUACAAUGGUUGGUACAACGAGUCGCGAGUCGGUGACGGCAAGCAAAUCUCUUAAAGCCAAUCUCAGUUCGGAUUGUAGGCUGCAACUCGCCUACAUGAAGUCGGAAUCGCUAGUAAUCGCGGAUCAGCACGCCGCGGUGAAUACGUUCCCGGGCCUUGCACACAGCGCCCGUCA
Molecule: ribosomal RNA, 1292 nt
Filed under: uncultured bacterium
Lineage: Bacteria
Description: bacterial SSU rRNA
Rfam family: Bacterial small subunit ribosomal RNA
Source: RNAcentral